RNAcentral lists this ribosomal RNA (497 nucleotides) under uncultured bacterium. RNAcentral's name for it is "partial 16S ribosomal RNA". It matches the Rfam family "Bacterial small subunit ribosomal RNA", at positions 28 to 507 of the family's 1533-position model. The record is from RNAcentral.
GAUGAACGCUGGCGGCGUGCCUAAUACAUGCAAGUCGAGCGAACGGACGAGAAGCUUGCUUCUCUGAUGUUAGCGGAGGACGGGUGAGUAACACGUGGAUAACCUACUUAUCAGACUGGGAUAACUUCGGGAAACCGGCGCUAAUACCGGAUAAUAUUUUGAACCGCAUGGUUCAAAGGUAAAAGACGGUCUUGCUGUCACUUAUAGAUGGAUCCCGGCUGCAUUAGCUAGUUGGUAAGGUAACGGCCUACCAAGGCUACGAUGCCUAGCCGACCUGAGAGAGUGAUCGGCCACACGGGAACGGAGACGCGGUCCAGACGCCUACGGGAGGCAGCAGUAGGGAAUCUUCCGCAGUGGGCGAAAGCCUGACGGAGCAGCGCCGCGUGAGUGAUGAAGGUCUUCGGUUCGUAAAACUCUGUUAUUAGUGAUAAACAUAUGUGUAAGUAACUGUGCACAUCUUGACGGUACCUAGUCAGAAAGCCACGGCUAACUACGUG